RNAcentral lists this long non-coding RNA (2054 nucleotides) under Rattus norvegicus (Norway rat). RNAcentral's name for it is "long non-coding RNA NONRATT023036". Lineage: Eukaryota; Metazoa; Chordata; Mammalia; Rodentia; Muridae. The record is from RNAcentral.
GCGUCUCACAGCGUGGGUCUCAGGUUGGGAGAGGGUCUCAGGUCCAGGAAGGCUUCAGAACAGUAACAACAACAACAACAACAACAAAAAAGGGGCAUGCAGAGGGACAAAGCGCUGUACCUCACCUGAAAAUCUCAACACCUCUCCUUUCCACUGAGGAAUUCAGGGAAACCUUUUCACCACGGAUUGCUUUGGCCGCUCAAAGCAGUUCUUCAUUUUAUUAGAAAAUACAAGUUGCUAAGCACUUAGGACCAUGUGAGCUUGUGGGUCACCCACGCUGGAAGAAAUAGUCAUGCUUCUUUAUUAUUUUUUUAAUCUUUUAUGGACAUUGUCCCUCUUCCCUGAAGGAAGUAUGGGCCAUUCAGAUUUCUGUUGGUUUUGCUGUGAAGUGCUGCCGCUCUAGUAACUGCCUUAGCAACGGUAGAUGUCUGGGGUAAAACGGUCCUGGGUUUUCCAUUGGUUUUCAUAAUGGGUGUUUAUAUGAAACUACUAAAGACUUUUUAAAUGGCUUGAUGUAGCAGUCAUAGCAAGUUUGUAAAUAGCAUAUAUGUUACACUCUCCUAGAGUAUAAAAUGUGAAUGUUUUUGUAGCUAAAUUGUAAUUUGAAACUGGCUCACCCCAGUUUGUUGAUUUCAGAGGGGUUAAAUUGGCAAACAUUCAUAUUUUUACUUCAUUUUUAAAAAGAAAAAAAACAACUGACUGAUAGUUCUAUAUUUUCAAAAGACUUGAAAACUAUUCCCAAAUCAUUUUAAUUUAAAAACAAAUUGGCUUUGUCUUAUUGAUCAGACAAAAGGAAGCUCUCGUGUGGAGGGAAGCGCAAACACAUUUAUUUUGUAUUGCAGGAAAAAAAUUCUUUUUUGUAUCACUUUUGUGUAAUGGUUAGUAAGCGUCAUCUAAGUCCUUUUAUGUAUAAAACUGCCAAAUGCUCGCCUGGUAUCUUAGCUGCAGAAACAGGUCAAACAGCGCUAAGUGAUCACCGUUACCUGUGGCUCUGUGUUACUGUUCCCUCAUCCGUGUCUGUAUUUAAUCGUUUUCUUCUCUUUUUUUUUUAAUGAAACUUGUUUCGCUUAUUUAUGAAAUAAUAAAUAUAGGUGUUUGUAAGUAAAUUUGUUAGUAUUUGAAAGAGGUUUUGUUGAUGCUUUAAUUUUUGCUGGCAAAAAAGAAAAAAAAUCCAUGCUUGGUGUGAAUAUUUAGUUUUUACAGUGACAUGAAUAAAACCAAAACUGCUUUUCAUUUAGUAGCAAAAUAGAGUGACGAAUCUGUAUUUUUGCAUAUCUUUUGUUGACAUAAAUGAAAAACAAUUCUACUUAGCCAUCUUCUUCUCUUGAACAAUACAACAGAAAAUUGCCCUGGAGAUCUCACACUUGCCAAGCCUAAGCAAACACCAGUGCAUCCCGUUCCUAAAAAGAUACGAAGAGCUAUUUUUCACUUCUCCAUUCCAAAACAUUUAACCACCACCACCACACCACACACACCCGCUAAAAACCAAAUUCAAGUUGAGUCACUCAAAAUUCCUCAAGCCACAUGCUUCUCAUAGCAUGCAGAAAACAUUUAAGAAUUGACCAAGGGUUCAGGAAGAGGUCAAAGAAGGAUAUCAUGUCUAGGAUCAAUCUAGAAAUGAAGGACUAGUAACCAGAUCAGCUAUAGAAAUAGGAAAAACAUGGAAACCGGAAGCAGUUGCUAGAAACUGUGAAAUCUGCUGUCCCUCUCCCCUCUACUCUCUUCUUCCUCUUCUAUGCAUCCUGAGUCCCUGUAAGAGAUUUGCCUGAAGGUGUUUGCAUAGUUCUGAUAGCAGAAGGGAAGGGUGAGGAAAUGUUUCCCUUCCACGGGCUUCUGUCACGUAAAUUCAUCUGGCUGGACAUGAAGAGAAUGAUUGUUUUGCGGAAUGAAAUAACCUCAACAAUUUAAAUACAAAUAUAUCAUGUAAUCCAGUCAAAAUUAAAAAGACAAAAGUCUUGCUUGCUUUGGAUUGGUUUUUCAGACACUGUGCGAGUUGAAUCACUUGGCAUGUAAUGACUAAUAAAUAAUGCACAUUCAGUGUUAUUAUUAAAAUG